Molecule: ribosomal RNA, 2111 nt
Filed under: Salmonella enterica subsp. enterica serovar Weltevreden
Lineage: Bacteria; Pseudomonadati; Pseudomonadota; Gammaproteobacteria; Enterobacterales; Enterobacteriaceae
Description: partial 23S ribosomal RNA
Rfam family: Bacterial large subunit ribosomal RNA
Source: RNAcentral
AAUCCAUAGGUUAAUGAGGCGAACCGGGGGAACUGAAACAUCUAAGUACCCCGAGGAAAAGAAAUCAACCGAGAUUCCCCCAGUAGCGGCGAGCGAACGGGGAGGAGCCCAGAGCCUGAAUCAGCAUGUGUGUUAGUGGAAGCGUCUGGAAAGGCGCGCGAUACAGGGUGACAGCCCCGUACACAAAAGCGCAUGUGCUGUGAGCUCGAUGAGUAGGGCGGGACACGUGGUAUCCUGUCUGAAUAUGGGGGGACCAUCCUCCAAGGCUAAAUACUCCUGACUGACCGAUAGUGAACCAGUACCGUGAGGGAAAGGCGAAAAGAACCCCGGCGAGGGGAGUGAAAAAGAACCUGAAACCGUGUACGUACAAGCAGUGGGAGCCCCACCACCAAAGCGUUUCGCUUUGUGUGGUGCACAAAGAAGCGUAACGACAGCACUGAAUGACGGUUAACGGAGCGCAAGCGACGUUCAACAUACAAAGUCAAGCAGUGGAGCGCUUUGGGGUGGGGUGACUGCGUACCUUUUGUAUAAUGGGUCAGCGACUUAUAUUCUGUAGCAAGGUUAACCGAAUAGGGGAGCCGGAGGGAAACCGAGUCUUAACCGGGCGUUAAGUUGCAGGGUAUAGACCCGAAACCCGGUGAUCUAGCCAUGGGCAGGUUGAAGGUUGGGUAACACUAACUGGAGGACCGAACCGACUAAUGUUGAAAAAUUAGCGGAUGACCUGUGGCUGGGGGUGAAAGGCCAAUCAAACCGGGAGAUAGCUGGUUCUCCCCGAAAGCUAUUUAGGUAGCGCCUCGUGAAUUCAUCUCCGGGGGUAGAGCACUGUUUCGGCUAGGGGGCCAUCCCGGCUUACCAACCCGAUGCAAACUGCGAAUACCGGAGAAUGUUAUCACGGGAGACACACGGCGGGUGCUAACGUCCGUCGUGAAGAGGGAAACAACCCAGACCGCCAGCUAAGGUCCCAAAGUCAUGGUUAAGUGGGAAACGAUGUGGGAAGGCCCAGACAGCCAGGAUGUUGGCUUAGAAGCAGCCAUCAUUUAAAGAAAGCGUAAUAGCUCACUGGUCGAGUCGGCCUGCGCGGAAGAUGUAACGGGGCUAAACCAUGCACCGAAGCUGCGGCAGCGACGCUUAUGCGUUGUUGGGUAGGGGAGCGUUCUGUAAGCCUGUGAAGGUGGCCUGUGAGGGUUGCUGGAGGUAUCAGAAGUGCGAAUGCUGACAUAAGUAACGAUAAAGCGGGUGAAAAGCCCGCUCGCCGGAAGACCAAGGGUUCCUGUCCAACGUUAAUCGGGGCAGGGUGAGUCGACCCCUAAGGCGAGGCCGAAAGGCGUAGUCGAUGGGAAACGGGUUAAUAUUCCCGUACUUGGUGUUACUGCGAAGGGGGGACGGAGAAGGCUAUGUUGGCCGGGCGACGGUUGUCCCGGUUUAAGCGUGUAGGUGUGUGUUCCAGGUAAAUCCGGUUCACUUUAACACUGAGGCGUGAUGACGAGGCACUACGGUGCUGAAGCAACAAAUGCCCUGCUUCCAGGAAAAGCCUCUAAGCAUCAGGUAACAUCAAAUCGUACCCCAAACCGACACAGGUGGUCAGGUAGAGAAUACCAAGGCGCUUGAGAGAACUCGGGUGAAGGAACUAGGCAAAAUGGUGCCGUAACUUCGGGAGAAGGCACGCUGACAUGUAGGUGAAGUGAUUUACUCAUGGAGCUGAAGUCAGUCGAAGAUACCAGCUGGCUGCAACUGUUUAUUAAAAACACAGCACUGUGCAAACACGAAAGUGGACGUAUACGGUGUGACGCCUGCCCGGUGCCGGAAGGUUAAUUGAUGGGGUCAGCGCAAGCGAAGCUCCUGAUCGAAGCCCCGGUAAACGGCGGCCGUAACUAUAACGGUCCUAAGGUAGCGAAAUUCCUUGUCGGGUAAGUUCCGACCUGCACGAAUGGCGUAAUGAUGGCCAGGCUGUCUCCACCCGAGACUCAGUGAAAUUGAACUCGCUGUGAAGAUGCAGUGUACCCGCGGCAAGACGGAAAGACCCCGUGAACCUUUACUAUAGCUUGACACUGAACAUUGAGCCUUGAUGUGUAGGAUAGGUGGGAGGCUUUGAAGUGUGGACGCCAGUCUGC